CUCUUCCGAUCUUUGCCCGCUGGUCCCGCAGCCUCCCAACAGUCCUGACGUCGCCCCGGCAGACUUCUUCUUGUUUCCCAGCAUCAAGUCGAAGCUCAAAGGCAAGCAUUGGGGCACAAUUAAGGACAUCCAAGAAGCUACGACGAGGGCGCUGAAGGACCUACCCGUUGACGUCUUCCAGGGGACCUUCCGGGCAUGGAAAACUCGCCUACAAAAGUGCAUCGCUGCUGAAGGGUGUUAUUUUGAAGAGUACUAAUGUAUGGUACCGAUAAGUUCAAUAAAAGUAUUU
Hyposmocoma kahamanoa is the source of this 289-nucleotide long non-coding RNA. RefSeq lists it as uncharacterized. The record is from RefSeq and is a predicted model, not a curated record. The transcript has 3 exons. NCBI's taxonomy places the organism in Eukaryota, Metazoa, Arthropoda, Insecta, Lepidoptera, Cosmopterigidae.